Pangasianodon gigas (Mekong giant catfish) is the source of this 73-nucleotide non-coding RNA. NCBI's taxonomy places the organism in Eukaryota, Metazoa, Chordata, Actinopteri, Siluriformes, Pangasiidae. The record is from the annotation of a GenBank genome assembly.
GGCAUGGUGGCUCAGUAGUUAGUGCUGUUGCCUUGCACUUUGGUGGUUGGGGGUUCGAGUCCCAUCUUUGUCC